AACGAACGCUGGCGGCAGGCCUAACACAUGCAAGUCGAACGCCCCGCAAGGGGAGUGGCAGACGGGUGAGUAACGCAUGGGAACCUACCUUACGGUCGGGAAUAGCUCAGGGAAACUUGGGGUAAUACCGGAUACGCCCUUACGGGGAAAGAUUUAUCGCCGUUAGAUGGGCCCGCGUAGGAUUAGCUAGUUGGUGAGGUAACGGCUCACCAAGGCGACGAUCCUUAGCUGGUCUGAGAGGAUGAUCAGCCACACUGGGACUGAGACACGGCCCAGACUCCUACGGGAGGCAGCAGUGGGGAAUAUUGGACAAUGGGCGCAAGCCUGAUCCAGCCAUGCCGCGUGAGUGACGAAGGCCUUAGGGUUGUAAAGCUCUUUUGGCGGGGAAGAUAAUGACGGUACCCGCAGAAUAAGCUCCGGCUAACUUCGUGCCAGCAGCCGCGGUAAUACGAAGGGAGCUAGCGUUGUUCGGAAUCACUGGGCGUAAAGCGCACGUAGGCGGAUAUGUCAGUCAGGGGUGAAAUCCCGGAGCUCAACUUCGGAACUGCCUUUGAUACAGCAUAUCUCGAGUCCGAGAGAGGUGAGUGGAAUUCCUAGUGUAGAGGUGAAAUUCGUAGAUAUUAGGAAGAACACCGGUGGCGAAGGCGGCUCACUGGCUCGGUACUGACGCUGAGGUGCGAAAGCGUGGGGAGCAAACAGG
RNAcentral lists this ribosomal RNA (700 nucleotides) under uncultured Pedomicrobium sp. RNAcentral describes it as "bacterial SSU rRNA". It matches the Rfam family "Bacterial small subunit ribosomal RNA", at positions 28 to 776 of the family's 1533-position model. The record is from RNAcentral. Lineage: Bacteria; Pseudomonadati; Pseudomonadota; Alphaproteobacteria; Hyphomicrobiales; Hyphomicrobiaceae.